RNAcentral lists this long non-coding RNA (269 nucleotides) under Nicotiana benthamiana. RNAcentral's name for it is "long non-coding RNA (NBEN_LNC024741)". The record is from RNAcentral. Lineage: Eukaryota; Viridiplantae; Streptophyta; Magnoliopsida; Solanales; Solanaceae.
CAAGCUGGUGCAUAUAAAUCAUAUGUACCGAGCUUGUUACAUAUGUAGUUUGACAUCGAAACCGUGUUUCUAGACCCGAAAGCAUCUAGUCCCAAAGACAACUUUGGAUUAUCAACUGAAAACUCGCUGAAACAGAAACAGAGAACUGAAAACUGUCGCUGCCGGAAAAUAGGAUUACUGUAGCUGCCGGAAAAGCACUGUAGCUGCCGGAAAAAUUCAAAGUUGUCGGAAUUGAAAAAUAAAAAUAUGGAUAGGCUCGGAAUUCAAGG